GUAUUCAGAAGCUCUCCUUCUAACCCAAGAAGUAUAAGGCGCCAAAGCGAUACAGUUUUUCGGACCAAGCUUCUUCCUCCCUUUCUUAUGGAUCUUGUGCCAAGCGCGGACCAUCGUGCCCUUCAAGCCCUGGGGAUCUUUACCCUCCUGAAAGAACACACUCUCUAACAGAAUGUUAUUGGGUUUAUCCUUUAGGGGGAACCCAAGCUAACUACGUGCCAAAAUAGGGUUGUAGUUAAU
RNAcentral lists this long non-coding RNA (240 nucleotides) under Lathyrus oleraceus (garden pea). RNAcentral describes it as "Pisum sativum (pea) long non-coding RNA (PSAT_LNC013364)". Lineage: Eukaryota; Viridiplantae; Streptophyta; Magnoliopsida; Fabales; Fabaceae. The record is from RNAcentral.